AAAUGUUAUGCGUUUUCUGAAUGUCUAUUAAAUAUACCUUCGUUUAAAGAAAAAUAACUUUAAAAAUUCAUAUUCCCUUAAACUGUAUAAUUACCAGCCAUUUUGUUGUAAACUAAUUGGUCAAAAUGUCAGCGAAAGUAAGAGUAGGGAUGAGGUCAUGCUCGGUUAACACAUUCGACUUUACAAACGUAUCGUAUAUAUUGAAUUUCUUCUGUAAUGAAUUUAUAUGAAGAAGUAAAAGAAAGGAUGAUUUAAUAAGACGAAACAAGGAAGACAAAAGUUUAUUGCGUCAGACAUUUGGUGUUGUCGCUUGCUCUUGCUUGCAAUUAAUAACCGGGUGUUAAAAAUGGAGCGUGACUUCAAACUCUUAAUUUAUCCGUCUUGGUGGGAGAAUUGGUAACGAUUUUUCUACAUUCGAUACUACAAAACAGGAUAGAAGAAUCUCUAACCGAAAUGUGAAAUUACUGCAUUUAAUGGAAAUGUUCGGGGUCAAUUUGAUUUCAUUCUU
Long non-coding RNA from Centruroides sculpturatus (bark scorpion), 508 nucleotides. RefSeq lists it as uncharacterized. Lineage: Eukaryota; Metazoa; Arthropoda; Arachnida; Scorpiones; Buthidae. The transcript is spliced from 3 exons. The record is from RefSeq and is a predicted model, not a curated record.